GCGCCCUUAGCUCAGUGGAUAGAGCGUCUGUCUACGAAACAGAAGGCCAUUGGUUCAAAUCCAAUAGGGCGCA
This 73-nucleotide transfer RNA is filed under the name Elusimicrobiota bacterium. Its description in RNAcentral is "Elusimicrobia bacterium tRNA-Arg". It matches the Rfam family "tRNA". Rfam says of the family: Transfer RNA (tRNA) molecules are approximately 80 nucleotides in length. Their secondary structure includes four short double-helical elements and three loops (D, anti-codon, and T loops). Lineage: Bacteria; Pseudomonadati; Elusimicrobiota. The record is from RNAcentral.